RNAcentral lists this ribosomal RNA (523 nucleotides) under uncultured Glomeromycotina. RNAcentral describes it as "SSU rRNA". It matches the Rfam family "Eukaryotic small subunit ribosomal RNA", at positions 569 to 1091 of the family's 1831-position model. The record is from RNAcentral. Lineage: Eukaryota; Fungi; Glomeromycota.
AGCAGCCGCGGUAAUUCCAGCUCCAAUAGCGUAUAUUUAAGUUGUUGCAGUUAAAAAGCUCGUAGUUGAAUUUCGGGAUCGAUACGUCGGUCGUGCCUUAGGUACGUACUGUCGUCAUCGAUUUCUCCCUUCUGACGAACCAUGAUGUCAUUUAUUUGGUGUUAUGGGAAAUCAGGACUGUUACUUUGAAAAAAUUAGAGUGUUUAAAGCAAGCUAACGCUUGAAUACAUUAGCAUGGAAUAAUGAAAUAGGACGUUCGAUCCUAUUUUGUUGGUUUCUAGGAUUGACGUAAUGAUUAAUAGGGAUAGUUGGGGGGCAUUAGUAUUCAAUUGUCAGAGGUGAAAUUCUUGGAUUUAUUGAAGACUAACUACUGCGAAAGCAUUUGCCAAGGAUGUUUUCAUUAAUCAAGAGCGAAAGUUAGGGGAUCGAAGACGAUCAGAUACCGUCGUAGUCUUAACCAUAAACUAUGCCGACUAGGAAUCAGACGAUGUUAAUUUUUUCAAUGACUCGUUCGGCGCCUUAC